AGAUGGCGACCGGCGCACGGGUGAGUAAUACGUAUCCAACCUGCCGAUAACUCGGGGAUAGCCUUUCGAAAGAAAGAUUAAUACCCGAUGGUAUAAUCAGACCGCGUGGUCUUGUUAUUAAAGAAUUUCGGUUAUCGAUGGGGAUGCGUUCCAUUAGGCAGUUGGUGAGGUAACGGCUCACCAAACCUUCGAUGGAUAGGGGUUCUGAGAGGAAGGUCCCCCACAUUGGAACUGAGACACGGUCCAA
This 247-nucleotide ribosomal RNA is filed under the name uncultured bacterium. RNAcentral's name for it is "partial 16S ribosomal RNA". It matches the Rfam family "Bacterial small subunit ribosomal RNA", at positions 86 to 334 of the family's 1533-position model. The record is from RNAcentral.